AUUGAACGCUGGCGGUAGGCCUAACACAUGCAAGUCGAGCGGAUGAAGGGAGCUUGCUCCUGGAUUCAUCGGCGGACGGGCGCGUAAUGCCUAGGAAUCUGCCACGUAGUGGGGGAUAACGUCCCGAAACGGGCGCUAAUGCCGCAUACGUCCUGUGGGCGAAAGUGGGGGAUCUUCGGACCGCACGCUAUCAGAUGAGCCUAGGUCGGAGUAGCUAGUUGGUGGGGUAAAGGCCUACCAAGGCGACGAUCCGUAACUGGUCUGAGCUGAUGAUCAGUCACACUGGAACGGAGACGCGGUACAGACUACUACGGGAGGCAGCGGUGCAGAGUAUUGGACAGUGGACGAAAGCCUGAUCCAACCCAGCCGCGUGUGGUAAAAAAGUCUUGUGAUAGUAAAGCUCUUCAACUUGGGAGGAAGAAUAGUAAGUUAAUCCCUUGCUGUCUUGACGUUACCGACAGAAUAAGCACCGGCUAACUUCGUG
Molecule: ribosomal RNA, 484 nt
Filed under: uncultured bacterium
Lineage: Bacteria
Description: partial 16S ribosomal RNA
Rfam family: Bacterial small subunit ribosomal RNA
Source: RNAcentral